Non-coding RNA from Misgurnus anguillicaudatus (oriental weatherfish), 2614 nucleotides. The record is from RefSeq and is a predicted model, not a curated record. NCBI's taxonomy places the organism in Eukaryota, Metazoa, Chordata, Actinopteri, Cypriniformes, Cobitidae.
CUCAGGGGCCUUUGUUUUGGUCAAAUAUUUUGGAGAACUUUAAUGACGACCAGUGGCAACAGCAUUUUCGAAUGUCAAGGAACACCUUUGAAUUUAUUUUGCAAGAGACUGAUCAGAGCACGACACGUAAGAACUGGAGAAAGCCCUUACCACCACACCAUUGAUUGGCUAUUGUUUUGUGGUGGUAUGCAACCCCUGGUGAGUACCGUAUGAUCAGUUGUCUUUUUGGUGUUGGACUGUCCACUGUUUGUACACUGAUUUACAAGGUCACAACGACAUUAAAGAGAAUGCUUUUAAAACAUUUCAUCACCUUACCCAAAGGGAAGCUCUUCAACAGACGAUAAAUGGGUACGCUGCACGUCGGUAUCCGUUGAAUGCUGGUGCAAUAGAUGGCAGCCACAUCCCUAUUAUUGCUCCACAAGAAGAUGCGACGGCGUAUUACAAUCGCUAGGGAUGGCAUUUGAUUGUACUUCAGGCUGUUGUGGACCACAAUUUCUGUUUUACAGACAUAUAUGUGGGCUGGCCUGGUCUCACGCAUGAUGCUCGUGUUUUAUCCAAUUCUCCUAUCUUCAAAAUGACAGAAGAACAAGGCGGAUACCUGUUUCCUCAUGAGAACUCCAUGUCAGUGAACGGAGUCGAUGUUCCUGUCCAUUUAAUUGAUGAUGCUGCAUACCCUCUCAAGAACUCAACCUCAAUACGCUGACCCCACAACAACGGCAUUAUAACUAUCGACUGAGAUCAUCACUAUGGAUACUAUCAGCUAUGGAUACGGAUCAAGAUGGCAACGGGUUAAGUCCAGCCUUUUUUACCUAUAUAUUGAUGACGAGGCAAGAUGACCGGAGCGGUUGUGUUGCUGUUGAGUACCUCGCAGAGCUCCUAAGACUGCCGCGGCGAUUCGUUGUGUAUCCGCGGCCAGAGUCUUAUUAGGUUAUCCAAAUGGAUUCAAUGUCACCGUUCGUCUGAAACACGGAAGGUAAUUACAUUAUCCCCGUCGUUGUCUGUCUAGCGGAUUGUCGUUGAGACGCUACAGGGAAGAGAAACACAACAUUACGAGUCAGAGUGAGUAGUUCCAAAACCCGAAGUGGACUAAUGGAGCGGAACUCUACAGCUGAGUGCUAACGUACCCGAAUCCAUACAAAAGGUGGCGUGGACUUGAGAAAACGAGUCGUGAGUACAUUAAUUCUGUUGCAGAGAGCAUUGAUUUUUUUAUUGUUUGCUCACCUAUUGACUCUGCGAACUAUCGUUUGACUGCAGAGUAUUUUUUGCUCACCAUUUGACUGUGUGAACUAUUAUUGCUGCAAAGCAUUGUGAACUGAUUUAUUGCUCUGGGCCGCAUGUGUUUCAUUGUGGUCAUCAUUUGUGAUCAAACCCUUUUGAAUUGUUAUUUUUUUGUGUGUGUUUGUUGUUGGUGAUCUGUUUUUAUUAUUUUUCUUCUAACUUCUAAUGGAAAAUUUAUGUUGAAACCUUUUUGAAAAUAUAUUGAGUUUAAAGGUUUAUGUGUCUUGGAUUGAAUGGUUGUGUUCUAUUUUGGAGUGAUUAAUACUGGUGAUAUUGCAUAAGUUCAAUCCUUUUUCAUAAAGUUAGGGGGUUUUGUGUACGACUACACAGACACAGAAUACACAAGAUCCUUGUAAGUUUUCUCGAUCUAAAAUUUAAUUUAUGACAGAAAACCUGUCUGGCACCCCAGCAAAGAACCUAACAAAAAGUGUGGGAAAACGUUACAACUGGAACAUUACAGAUGUUUUGCAAGAGCCAGAACAAGAUAUGCUUUAGGGGUGGGAGGUCCUAAUUCACAAGCUAUUCUUGCGGCUAUAAUGACUCAUCCUGUAAUAUGGGUACCAUGUUUUUAUGGCAUGAUGAAGCAUUGUUACCCUGAAGCUUUCCGUUGUUUACUUUUUUACUGUUUAUACGUGUGUGAUAUGAUUGAUGUACAGAAUAAAUAUGAUUGAGAAUGUAUAUUUUUUUCUUCUUUAAUGUUGAUAACUAUACAUGUCACAGAAUUUGUGUAUAAUUGACUGAAGCACCCCAAUUGCCCUAAACAAUGGCAGCAUAUUAUAUAUUGUUUUGUGAAGUGUACUUGGACUGAACUAAUACCAGACACUAAAUAAAAUGGAUGUUUAAGAUGCCUUAUGUGAAAUAUACCUUACUCAUGUAUCAGUAUCAUAACUUUUCUCAAGAUGCACAAUAAUAUUGUUUAUUUUAGUAUGGAUGUAAACUCUCUCCAGGCCACUUCAAAUCAAAUAGGUAUUGAAAACACUUUAUUGUAUAAGUGUACUGUGGAGCUUACAUUAGAGGAAAAUAAUUGUCUUUUUUACAGUGUGACAAUAAUGCUGGUCUUUCUGUAAGCGCCUGCUAUAAUGCUCUUGAAACCAGGUAAAAAACAAGUACGCUUCCAAAGUAUACUUAACAUGCUCUAUUUUUGCGCACUUAUUUUGUACUUAAUAUACUAAAGAUUCUUGUUGAAGUGUACUUCACUGUGCUAUUUUGAGACACCAUAAAUAUAAACUAAAAUGUGCAAAAAAUUAUUUAGGUACCACUUGUAGUAAGCUUGAACCCAUCUUUGUAUGAAAGUUGAGUUUAAUACAAGUGUUAACUAAAUAAAUGUUAUUAGAGA